GGACAACCUACCCUAAGGAGGGGGAUAACCCCGGGAAACUGGGGAUAAUACCCCAUAGACUAUGGAUGCUGGAAUGCUCUGUAGUUGAAAGGUCCGCCGCCUUAGGAUGGGUCUGCGGCCGAUUAGGUUGUUGUUGGGGUAACGGCCCAACAAGCCUGUAAUCGGUACGGGUUGUGGGAGCAAGAGCCCGGAGAUGGAUUCUGAGACACGAAUCCAGGCCCUACGGGGCGCAGCAGGCGCGAAAACUUUACAAUGCGAGAAAUCGUGAUAAGGGAACUCCGAGUGCCCGUAAAAUCGGCUGUUAAUCUGUUUAAAUAACAGGUUGAGAAAGGGCCGGGCAAGACCGGUGG
RNAcentral lists this ribosomal RNA (350 nucleotides) under uncultured archaeon. RNAcentral describes it as "bacterial SSU rRNA". It matches the Rfam family "Archaeal small subunit ribosomal RNA", at positions 102 to 458 of the family's 1478-position model. The record is from RNAcentral.